GUGAGUAACACGUAGGCAACCUGCCCUCAAGUUUGGGACAACUACCGGAAACGGUAGCUAAUACCGAAUAAUUGUUUUCUUCGCCUGAAGGAAACUGGAAAGACGGAGCAAUCUGUCACUUGGGGAUGGGCCUGCGGCGCAUUAGCUAGUUGGUGAGGUAACGGCUCACCA
Molecule: ribosomal RNA, 171 nt
Filed under: Paenibacillus amylolyticus
Lineage: Bacteria; Bacillati; Bacillota; Bacilli; Caryophanales; Paenibacillaceae
Description: partial 16S ribosomal RNA
Rfam family: Bacterial small subunit ribosomal RNA
Source: RNAcentral